GAUGAACGCUGGUGGCGUGCCUAAUACAUGCAAGUCGAGCGAACGGACGAGAAGCUUGCUUUUCUGAUGUUAGCGGCGGACGGGUGAGUAACACGUGGAUAACCUACCUAUAAGACUGGGAUAACUUCGGGAAACCGGAACUAAUACCGGAUAAUAUUUUGAACCGCAUGGUUCAAAAGUGAAAGACGGUCUUGCUGUCACUUAUAGAUGGAUCCGCGCUGCAUUAGCUAGUUGGUAAGGUAACGGCUUACCAAGGCAACGAUGCAUAGCCGACCUGAGAGGGUGAUCGGCCACACUGGAACUGAGACACGGUCCAGACUCCUACGGGAGGCAGCAGUAGGGAAUCUUCCGCAAUGGGCGAAAGCCUGACGGAGCAACGCCGCGUGAGUGAUGAAGGUCUUCGGAUCGUAAAACUCUGUUAUUAGGGAAGAACAUAUGUGUAAGUAACUGUGCACAUCUUGACGGUACCUAAUCAGAAAGCCACGGCUAACUACGUG
RNAcentral lists this ribosomal RNA (497 nucleotides) under uncultured bacterium. RNAcentral describes it as "partial 16S ribosomal RNA". It matches the Rfam family "Bacterial small subunit ribosomal RNA", at positions 28 to 507 of the family's 1533-position model. The record is from RNAcentral.